Molecule: microRNA precursor, 162 nt
Filed under: Gossypium hirsutum (cotton)
Lineage: Eukaryota; Viridiplantae; Streptophyta; Magnoliopsida; Malvales; Malvaceae
Description: MIR7502 microRNA precursor family
Rfam family: MIR7502 microRNA precursor family
Source: Rfam by way of RNAcentral
UGUUAAAAAAACCAUCAAUUUCUACUUUUAACUGAUGACAUGGAUGACAGAGCAACUAACAACAACACAUGAUAUGUCAUGUGUACCUCAUGCUUGUAUGUGUGUGUGGUUGCUCCACCAUCCACUAUCACUUAACAAUAGAAAUGGAUGGAAUCUUUAACA